UGCAACUUCUCAAGCCUAAAGUACAAUAAUUCACAACAUAAUAACAAUCAAAUCAACACAAUCGACUAGAACUUUGAGCAAUUUUUUUCCAAACAAAUCAACACAGCCAACAAGAAUCAGAAUAUGAAGAUGAAGAAUCAACAAGAAACAAACAAACAAAUGACGUGAUUUUCUUUCUUCUUCGAUUCUCACUUCUUAAUUUUUUUCCAAACAAACCACAAGAAUCAAAUAACAAGAAUCUUUCUUCUUCGAUUCUCACUUCUCAAUUUUUUCAAACAAACAACAAGAAUCUAAUCACCAGUUGUUACAAAUUGAGUAAUCCUGAUAUCAUCAUCAUCUUCAACAACAACCAAAGCUCAAACACAGACAAACAGGUGAACGAAAAGCUUCAAGAACCGCCAGAAAUUCUGCAAAAAAGAAAAAAAAUAGUGCUUUUCAGGAAUAAUCUUCUUGUUGCUACCUCUUAGCUCUACAAUGGCAAUCAUAAUUGAAGAACCAGAUUCACCAACACCAACACCAAAGAAACAAUAAAAACCCCUUAAACCCACUUCAAGAACUCCUAAAUUAACCACCCCAACCCCCAUAAAAUCUUCCAAAACAACAAUGCAACAACUCCCUUUCCCAUGGUUGAUUUCUCAAUUAAUUCUUUUUUUUUAGAGUAGAUCGAAGGAAAGAAGAAAAGACAUGAAGCUUUUGUCAAUGGUGAACAUCUCUUUCUUUAAGUUUUUGCCAACGCGCUGCCGCCGCAGGAGUUGUUGAAAACAUAAUCCUACCAGUAAUGCAUUAACACAAAAAACCCCAACUGAUUUCCAUCAUAGUCCAUCGAAUUUGCAAAUUAGGGUUCCUUAUGAGAAACUUUUUGUCGACAACUGGAAACCACCACUAGCAAUAAUGGAACCAGUCCCAAAGGUGUAUCAUUAGGAGGACUUUGUUAGUAGAGAAAGGAUGGGAGAAUUGAGAGGUAUAGAGGGAAUCGAGGGAGAGAUGGAGAGGUGAGAGAGAGAUGGAGAAUGACGAGGGAUGAGAGAGAGAAAAAGGGGAAAUUGGUGAGGGUUCCUUUGUUUUUUCCUUUUUUUUUAAAUUUAUAUUUUUGGCUUACUUUUUAAAAAAUAAAUUUUGUUUUAAUUUAUCAUUUUAUUUUUAUUAUUGAUUAAUAAUUUUAAAAAUUAAUCAAUUAAGAUAUUAUGACAUGGAAUUUAAUGAAGCAUUUAAAAUGACAUGGAAAUGAUGUGGAAGCUGACGCGGCAGCAAUUGUAUUACACACACCGAAGUAGGACUUAAAAUGUUGCUUGUUAGUAGGUUCAAGGGUCCAGAUGUUAAACAUGUAAUUAGUGCCUACCAUUUAUUUAGCUAAAUUUAAAAUGUUUAUACCUUACCAAUCAUAUUUUGUUUAUUUCAAGAUAAAAAAAAUGUGACGAUAUAACUUUUAUAUAAGCAUGUAGAUCAAAUCUAUUUUACACGAUGAUGUUGACAUGAUAUGUCAUUUUUCUAUAACGUCUCGCAAAGUAUUAUUGUUGUUUGUUCCGGUCUCAAAUAAAUAAACCAUCUAAUCCAUAUUAAGUGAAUUGUUGGAAAUCUUUUUAUAGUUUAAAAUAGCUGAAUUUUUAAAUGUUCAAGAGAAAUGUUAGAAUUUUUUCAUUUUUAACCUUACCCUUUCUUUUAAGGAAAUUCAUAACUAUUUUUUAUUUUCUUGAAAAAUAUUUUGAAAAUAAUCAAUAAAGCAAUAGUAAAUAAUAACCUUUAAUUCAUAAUCUUAAAUAUAUUCUUUUGCUUAAUGAAUAUACUAUAUCCUAACAAUUCUCCUAAUAUGGUCUAGAAUAAUAUAUUUUUAACUUAAUUCAAUGAUAGGGGGAAAAUAAUUAAUUGCUGCCUAAUUUGUGUUUUCCCUCAAAAUACAAAAAAAAAAAUUAAAAAUAAUAAUAAUAAUAAUAAUAAUAAUAAUAAUAAAAAACCAUUAAACUCAAAUUGAAAAAUAACACUUUUCAUUUAUUAACAUUUUCAUUUUUUCUCUAUUUGUGAAAUGUGUAUGUGGCAAUAGGAAAUAAAAUACAGAAAAUAUCUUAUUUAAGCAACUACCUUGACUGUGUUUUUAUUUCUUUCCCCUAACAUUUUCCUAUUUAAGAACAUCUUCGCAAAUGUUUUCUCUCAUCCUGAUUAGAUUCAUAGACUAAAAAUUGUGCCAAGGGCAAAUAAAGUGCAAGGAGUUGUUGAGAAGGUGCAUUACCAUGAAGUUCAGAAGAGUUAGUCGGGGAGAUACACAUAAAGAUAUCGAUACUAAGAAAGAAUUAAUGGUUAGAAUUAAUGGUUAGGUACAUUCGACAUGGCAGAUCUGGCUUCAACGACAUAUGAUGAAACGUUGAUUAAGUUCCAUGGUGUCAGAGCAAAGACCAAUUUUCCGAUUCCGAUGGGCAAGAUGAAUUGGGAGUUAAGUUAGAUCAGUUCUAUAGAGUCAUUAAAUGCGGUGACUGUAGAGGUAUUGAUGGUUGAAUAGCCAACUAGAAUGGAUCUAACCCUCGGAAGCAGUUAGAUCCAUGUGGUGAUUCAACCAUCAAUGCCGCCACAAUCACCGCAUUAGAUGACUCUAUAGAACUGACCGAACUACCAGUCUUCGCCAAUCAAAAUUAGAAAAUAGGUCUUUGCUCAGACACCACGAAACUUAGUCCCCGCUGCAUCAUAUACAAUAACAGCCAACUCUACCGUGUCAAAUGAACCUAACCAUUUAUUCUUUCUUAGUAUCGAUAUCUCUAAUGUGUAUCUCCUUGACUCUUCUGAACUCCUCGGUAAUGCACCUUCUCGACAACUCUAUUCACUUUUUUUGCCCUUGGUGCCAUUUUCACUCGAUGAAUGUAAUUAGAAUGAGAGAACAUGUAGGGGAAUGAGGUGCUUAAAUAGGAAAAUGGUAGGAAAAACAAAGAAAACCGCAGUCAAGGGAGCUGCUUAAAUUUGAUAUUCUUCUGUAUUUUAUUUCCUAAUGCCAUAUAAGCAUUUCACAAAAAGAAGAAAAAGAAAAAAAAAAGGUCAAUAAAUGGAAAAUGCUAUUUUUCAAUUUGAGUUUAAUGUUUUAUUAUUUCUCAUAUUUUUGGAUCUUGAGGGAAAACACAAAAUAAGGCAGUAAUUAAUUAUUUUUCCUCUACCAUUAGAUUAAGUUAUGAAAAAGAUAUACUUUUUCUAGUCCUUAUUAAGUGAAUUGUUAGGAUAUAACAUAUUCAUUAAGGAAAAAAUAUAUACAUUUCAGAUUAUGGAUUAAAGGUUAUUAGUAUUACUUUUUUGGUCAUUCUCAAAAUAUUCUUCUAGAAAAUAUAGAAUAGGUAAGAACUUCAAUAAAAGAAAGGGUAAUAUGAAAAAGAUUCUAACAAGUCUCUUGAACCUUGAAAAAUCAGCUAUUUUGAACUAUAAAAAGAGUUCCAACAAUUCCUUUAAUAUGGAUUAGAAGAGUAUUUAUUUGAGACCAGAACAAAUAAUAAUUAUACUUUACGUUGCAUAAUAGCAAAUGACAUAUAAUGUACACAUCGUCGGAUAAAAUUGAUUUGAUCAUGGAGUUUCCAUGUCAAUGCAUAGGGUCAUUUAUGAAAUUGAUUAAAAUCUACAUCAUUUGACCUGAGUGAAGUAUCCCUGGCUAAAGAAAAUCCCCAACAGAUUUCUCUUAUUUGUUGAAUUUCUGCAGAAUUAUAGGCAGAGAGAGUAAAUAGAGGUGGUGGAAUGGAGAAAACCUACUCAAUGAUGGUAUAAAUGCAAUACUUAUGGCACUUCAAAAGGAAAUCCUGGGGCAAGUUCCAUAGCUUUUUGUAUUAGAAAUGAUGAGGUGAUCUGGUUUAUGCUUCAUGUAUAUAGAUUCAAGAAAAUACAAGCAUUUAUACAGAAGCACUAGCCAUGAUAGAAGGAUGUAGUUACUAUAUAUGUUGAGCAUCAUUUGUUGCCUUUAGAGAUUGAAACUGAUUCAUUUACACUGGCUAAGAUGGUGAAAGGGGAAUGGGAGGCUCCUUGGAGCAUAAUUGGAAUCAUUACAAGAAUUCAACAAAUGAUGGAGGAUGAAUUAAUCAAAGUACAAUAUAUCUACAAAGAAGGAAACUCACUGGCAGAUUGUUUGGCUAACUUGUGUUUUAGUUUUGCAGGUAAAGUUAAUUUUAACACUUUCAUGGAGAUACUAGGAAAACUAAGAUAACUACUAUACAAGAUAAGCAACAGAUUCCACAUAUUAGAGUCAGGAAGAUGAAACAACAAGCACCGGAUUAAGACAGGAUCUUAAUUCAUCACUCAAAACUUCCAAGGACAGUAAGGUAAUCACACAGGGGAGGCUCAAAAGAUUCAGAAAGUGUAAACACAAAAGCUGAUUUGGAAUGUACAGGUAAAUAAAGAGAUUUCAAAUGUUAUUAUGUCUUGUUGAUUUGCUUCAACUAAUGUUAAGGUGGUAUUAAGCUCUAAGAGGUUCAUUCCUUUGCAAAGGAAGAAGUAAAUCUACAAACUAGUAAUAUUCAUUUUGCUGGAAAAAUUGGAGAUUUAUCUAAAUGAAUUAACAUAAAUUUAAGUACUUGGAGUUAUAUUCCAUUGGAAUCGAUUACAGAACACCUGGUGUGAGAUUUAGGUGAGCUAAAGUGUAAUCGAUUCAAAGCUACUUACUAGAAUUAUGUUACAUUCGGCUAGAUAGAUCCAAUUUCUUAAUAAGAAGUAAGGGUAGCAUAUAUCAUAGCAAAGUUAGAAGGAUGAAAUGUUGAAUUCCAGAUUCAAAGAUGUUAAGAAGCUCGAACAACAACGAGUAUCUGACCGAAGUAAACAAAGAAGAUACUUAUCUUAGAGGUCUAGAGCUUCGAUGUGCAAUGGAGUUCACAACACUUCAUCAUCUUGGCAUUUCUAAAGCAAAUGGAAGUGGAGCUUUGAUGGAGAGAGAUGGAAAUGGAGCUGGUCGUUCUAAUUCUGUUUGCCCUAAUCUAGAUAUUUCCAUUUGUGUGUUUGUUUUGAUCAUGGACCGGGUCAAUAUUGGGCCUGGUUUGUAAAUAGCAAAAUUGGAUUUGUUUCUUUUUUAAAAAAAAAUUGGGCUACAAGCCCGCUUUUAUUUAAAAAAAAAACUGAUUUGAUCAACAUGCUUAUAGAACAAUUAUAUCGUAACAUUUUUCUAUCUUAUAAUAAACAAAAUACGGCUGGUUAGAAAUAAACAUUUUAAAAUUAGCUAAGUGAAUGAUAGGAAUUUAUUUUGAGCAUUUAGGAUAUAUUGGCAAAGAUCUCCGUCAUAAUUUAGAAAAAGAUCAAUUUUUCUUUUUUUUUUUUUUGGUCAACAAAGAAUUUUUACUUAUUUAAUAUGCAUCAUAGCAAAGCUGCGUUAGAGUACAUAAGAGGAGAUAGUUUGGCAGUACAAAAUCUACUACUAAUAUCCGGGAUCACGAGCCUAUUAGUUACAUCAAAAUAAGUUUCCUUUUUGUCUAUUUGAUUAGUCCUACAAAUAAACAAUGGGAGAAUUGUCCAUUCUUUAAAAAAAGUGUGCGAUUCCAUUUUUUUGCCCUCCUUAGCAAGCCUAUCCACAGCUAGCUUUGUCAAUCUCCCUUCAUGGAUGACCUGUGGAUCCCCCAGCUUCCGAAGAAGACCCCUGCAUAACAACAUUAGAUUAGUACUGGGAUUUGUAUCCUCAUUGCAUGCAGUUGCUAGCAUUACAGAAUCAGUAGCAAUACUAAUAUUAGAACAUUUUAAUUGAAGAGCCAUUUCCACGCCCAUUUAAAGGGCCAUAGUUUCUGCUUCAAGAGGAUUUUUAACACUUUUUUGUCCAUAAAGCCUCUAAUACAGUACCCCCUAUUAUCUCUGAAUAUACCCUGCGUUCCUCUCUUUCCUGAGUUGUAGUUGUAAGACCCAUCUAUGUUGAGUUUUAGGCCAUCUAUAGGAGGGGACCAUUGUUUCUUAACAUGGUUUUUCUUAACUGAAUGUUGCACUGCCAUGAAUUGAUAAUCUAUAGCUCUUUCAUAAGGCUCCCUGGUUGGAAUUUGCACAUAGUAAUUAUUAUAAAUAUUGUUGUUCCUAGCAAGCCAGAUAUUCCAUAAGUAAAAUGGGAAGGCGUCUUUUAAACUAAGACGUUUACCAAGUUUUAUAUCUUUCAUUUUACAAUAUUUUUUAUCCAAUCCUUGAUAUUCAUGGGCGAAUUACAUUCCAAGAUUUGAGCUAGAUUGGUUAUUCUCCAAAAAGCAACUACCCUAGGACAUUCUCUAAAUAUAUGGUAAAUGGUUUCAAUUUGGAUUUGUUAUUUUUCAUCUAAAAAAUAUGAAGGGUAAAGUAUUUUUAUUUUUUCCCCUGAUUAUGAAGAAAAACAGUAAAUUAAGCAACGAAGUGUAAAUUAUACUACCCCGCUGUAGAAUUAAUUUAUGAAGACAACAACAUCAACAUCAUCAACAACAUACCCAGUGAAAUCCCACAAGUUAAAUAUGGAGUGGGUAGAGUGUACGCGGACCUUAACAUUACCUCCAAGAGGUAGAGAUUUUGUUUUGAAAGACUCUCGGCUCAGGUGUAGUAAUGCUAGGUAAUCAGAAGAAGAAAAUAGUGAAAAAGUAUAUCAACUACUGAGGAAACAGUUCAAAUUCUAAAAGAACAAAAAAAUAAUCAAAGAAACUAGCAUGAUAAUUCAAAAACAAUAAAUGACAAACUAUCAUAGAUAUCACAAGUAGGGACCAACUCCACCUCAAUGUUUAUCACUAACACCCUAAACAACUAUACUACGUCUAGUGUACGAGAAACACCUAACAAGCCUAAAUCCUCAAAAAUCAACAUAAGACUCCUUUCUGACUAACCUUCCACUUUAAUAAAAAAUCUUCGCACCUCCUAUCUAAGGUUAUGUCCUCAUUAACUUAAAGUUAGGCCAUAUCCUGUCUAAUUAUCUCCCCUGAUACAUCUUCAAUCUAUUUCUACCUCUCUUCAUACAUACUAUAUGUUACCUUCCACUUCAGCCCCUGUGUUGACUUUGCCUAAUAGUACCGAUGGUUUUGUGGUGUAUUGUGAUGCCUCUAGAGUUGGUUUAGGUUAUGUGUUGAUGCAAAGAGUUAAGGUUAUAGCCUAUGCCUCUAGAUAGUUGAAGUUACAUGAACAGAAUUACCCAACCCAUGAUAUUGAAUUAGCUGAUGUGGUUUUUGCUUUAAAAAUCUAGAGACACUAUUUGUAUGGUAUUCAUAUUGAUAUGUUUACUUAUCAUAAAAGCCUGCAGUAUGUGUUUACCCAGAGAAAGUUAAAUCUUAGGUAGAGGAGGUGGUUAGGGUUGUUAAAAAACUAUGAUAUGAGUGUGUUACAUCACCCGAGCAAGGCCAAUGUAGUGGUAGAUGCCCUUAGCAGGUUGUCCAUAGAUAGUGUUAUGCAUAUGAAAGAAGGUAAGAAAGAAUUAGCUUGUGAUGUGCACCGUCUGGCUAUAUUGGGUGUUAGGUUGCUUGAUUCCGCUAAGGGAAGCACUUUGGUGCAAAGUAGUUUCGAAUCCUCCUUAGUUUCGGAAGUGAGGGAAAAACAAGACAGAGAUCCUAGUUUGGUCAGACUGAAGGGGUCAGUUAAAGACCAAAAGGUAGAGGUUUUCUUCCAAGGGGUAGAUGGCUUGUUGAGAUUGCAGGGUAGAUUGUGUGUUCCAUGUGUUGAUGAUUUGAGGCAGAGGAUUAUGGCUGAAGUGCAUGGUGCGCGGUAUUCUAUUCAUCCCGACGCAACCAAGAUAUACCGUGACUUGUGGGAAAUCUAUUGGUGAAGGAGUAUGAAGAAGAAUAUAGCUGAGUUUGUAGGAAAGUGCACAACGUGCCAACAUGUUAAAGUAGAACACCAAAGACCUAGUGGUGUGAUGCAAGAAUAUGGUAUACCCACUAAGAAGUGGGAAAAGGUGAAUAUGAACUUCAUGACUGGUUUACCUCUUUCGCGUCAUCAUUAUGAUUCUAUUUGGAUUUUUGUAGACAAGCUGACUAAGUCCGCAUAUUUAUUGCCCGGUCCAUACAUCUUAUACAGCUGAGAAUUAUGCUAGAUUGUAUAUCCGAGGGCUAGUCAGGCUGCACAAAGUUCUGUUGUCUAUCAUUUUGGAUAGAGGUACUCAAUUUACUUCUCAGUUUUGGAGUGUGUUUCAGCAGAAUCUUGGUACCCUAGUUUAUUUGAGUUCCACUUUUCAUCCGCAGAUAGAUAGUCAGGCUGAGAGGACCAUUCAGACUCUAAAAGAUAUGUUGAGGGCAUAUGCUCUUGACAUCAAAGGUACUUGGGAAGAGUAUUUGCCAUUGAUAGAGUUUGCUUAUAACAAUAGUUACCAUGCUAGCAUCAAAAUAACACCAUUUGAGGCUUUGUAUGGUAGAAGAUGUAGAUCACCAAUAGGUUGGUUUAAAGUGGGUGAAUCUACAAUGAUAGGACCUGAUGUGGUAUUCGAGGCUAUGGAAAAGGUGAAGUUGAUUAGAGAAAGAUUGAAGAUAGCUCAGAGUCGUCAAAAGUCAUAUGCCAAUGUGAGGAGAAGGGAUCUUGAGUUUGAGGUGGGUUAUUUGGUGUACUUAAAGAUUUCACCCAUGAAAGGGGUGAAGAGGUUUGGUAAAAAGGGGAAGCUUAGUCCCUGUAAUGUGGGCCCCUAUAGAGUCUUGAGUCGUGUUGGUAAAUUAGCCUAUGAAGUUGAGUUUCCCGCAGAGUUGUCAGCCAUUCAUCCUAUUUUUCAUGUCUCCAUGCUUAAAAAUCAUAUUGGUUAUUCAGUUUUAGUAGAUCCCUUAGAGAGUGCUGAUAUUCAGAACAGUUUUUCAUUUGAUGAGAUUUCUGUUGAGAUCCUAGAUUUUUGUAUCUAUAGACUAAGGAACAAAGAAAUUCCCUUGAUCAAAGUUUUAUGGCUGAACCAGUAUGUGGAGGGCGCUACUUGGGAGGCAGAAGCAGACAUGCGAGCCAAGUACCCACACCUCUUCUCCAUGAGUUCAAAUCAAUCCAAAGGUAUUAUUCUUCCUUAAUUCAACCCUUCUAAUCUAAAGUUGAGCUAUACAUCUAUUCUUACGUGAGUUCUUGUAAUUUUCGAAGUAUUUAAGAGUUUGGAAAGAUUUUAGGCUCGUUUAGCAAAUUUCUUCAGCUAUGUAUACUCAGCUUUUCCUGUGUUCAUAAACUAACUAGCAGCAUUCAAGGAUGAAUUUUACCAAGGGGGAUAUAUUGUAAGACCCCGCAAAAGUUCCCUCGUAGUCUGAGCCUUAGAGCAUAUAAAGUGAAGUGUAAUUCCAUCACUAAAAGAUUGAAAAGUGACUUCCUAAGUGAUUAGUGUUUUAACCUUGAUUGAAUUUUCCUAAAAAAGACAUUCUAUUGUGUGGGAAAUUGAAUUACCUUUCCAACGGUAUGAAUUUCAUCCAAAUCCGGUAUUGGGGCGAGAAGUUAUGGCCGUUUUACUAAGAGCAGUCGGAACCGCCCAGGUGCGACGGAAAGGUUGACGGACCAUCGAGCUUGCGACGGACCGUCGCAACCAAGGCAGUAACUCCCUCUUCUGUCCUAAGUGCAAUGGACAAGACGACAGACCAUCAAACUAGCGAUGGACCGUCGCUAAGACCGUCAUAAUUGAGGCAGUGUGGCCUUUUUCUGACCAACAUGCAACGGACGAUCCGACGGGCCAUUAGACCGGACCGUCGCUCAGACCAUCGCAAAUCCUGUUCAUUAUUUUUAAGUUAUUUUUAAAAGAACUUUUGGUCUUUUUCCCUUUUUAACACUUAGAUAUAUGCAAAACGAAGAAUAUAACUUCAUUAUCUCCCAAAAAAUCCAAAGGCUAGGGUUUCUUCCUCAAGAACAAACCCAAAACCCUUCUCCAAGAAAUUCAAGAAAUCACCAUAGAUUCUACAAAUUGAGUUGAGAUUCGAGUUCCCCAAGUCCAAGGCUUCAAGAACCCUCUCUCAAGAGUAAGAAGAAGAGUCUCCAGCAAGCUUGAUCAUCUAGUUUCACAAUCUAAAGAUAUGUGGGGUUUGAACAAGGACACCCCUUUCGUCCUUGUGCCCAAAAGUUGUUUUAAUUACAAAGAUAUAUGGUUUUACAGGUUUUUUAUGAAAUUGAAGUAUAGGUUUAUACCCUAUGUUAUUAUUUCUUCAGAUUAUGAUGGUUUCAAUGUUUUAGAAAUUGAAGUACAUGAGUAUGUUGAGAUUAUAAUGCAUAAUGCUGAAAAUUUCCAGAUUUCUAUAUGAUUUAUGAAUUUUUAUGAUAUUGAGUAUGAAUUUUGAUACGUCUUAACAUGAGAUUGAUAUAUGGGUCAUUAAGCUCUACUUGAGAUUGAAAUUUUAAGAAUUUUUGUGCUAUAAGCACCCAUCAUUUGAGUAUUUUGAGAUUAUUGAGAAAGUUUUGACCUUAAAGGUCAUAGUAGCUUUGAAAUCCACUUUACCAAAUGAGAUUACAAAUUUUAUAGUUGGGUUCUUAUGAACCAUGAGAUUAUUUUAAAGUGGAUUUCCAUGAGAUGAGCAUAGCUAACUAAAGGGAGUAGUAUUUAGAAUCGAGUUGGGUAAGUUACUAUGGUUUCAUACCCCAAAACUAUGUGCCACCGUAGGAUUGAGAUUUAUGGGCCCAAGGCCAAGAUAAGUGAUCACUAAGUUGAGGUUAUACUCCCUGGCAAGAGUAUGAUGCCUCUCCCCAACGUGAGGUUUCUUCCUUAGGAGUAUAAGACGUUGGACUCCAUGUAGCUCGCAUUUUGUAUGUCAGUUUAGAGAACCUCCCUGCUAGUAAACAGUGAAUAAACAACUUUUGAGUAGUUUUCCCUAAUAGUAAGAUUAUUAGAAUAGUUUCUUGAACUAAAAUUUUCCCAAGAAGGAAGUAGUUUUCUCUAUCAGUAAGAGUAAAUAAUUAGUUUUUAAAACCAAAUUUAUAUAAUUCCGAGUUCCAAGUAUCCUGAGUCUAAAGGAGUUCUAAGUUUUUAAGCAUUAAAAAAGUUUUACUCUCAAUGAGAUAUAUGCAUGAGUUGAAAGUAUUGUUUAAAGCUUUCUUCAGCCUUCGAGUAAUGAGAAUAAGAGGAGAGUACACAUUUUAAAGCUAAAGUAUAAUGACUCAUGAGAUUUAUGUUACAUGCUUCAUUCUACAUGAUUUAUGAGCUUAUUAUAUUAGACUUAUUCAAGCUAUGUGAGUCAUUCAUAUUUGCAUGCAUGAUUUUAUUAAAGAGUAUUGAUGUUGUUUUAUAUAAAUGCAUACACCCACAUAUACUCAGUACAUUCCCAUGAGUUGAUCCACAUAUACGUCUAUGUGUUAAAUUGUUUUAUAAUGUAGGUUCAGGUGCUCAGUCCCAGCCUCUUCAGUGAUUUCUGAGUACCUUUGUCUACAUCUCUACAGUGGUGAGUCCUUAUGGUUCGAGGACAUAUCUUCAGACAUUUCAGUAUUUUAGUAGAUAUAUUGUUGCUUUUAGUUCAGUUUUUGUCAGUUGGGGGCCUAUCCCAAUAGCUCUCUAGUCAUGGAGUAGUAGAGGCUUUGUCAGACUAGUUAUCAGAUUGUUAGUAUGUUGAGAUUUCUAGUAUUGCGGUUGUUUGGAGCAAGUAUUUUCUUUUUAUUUUCUAUUAUUUGAUACGACAGUGCUAGUGUUUUGUUUAUUUCUUCUCGAAAUAAGUUAUUUUAUGUCGUGACUCGCUCAAAGGGUUAGCUUGGGGCUACUUUUAGCCUUAAGCACUGUGUGACGUCCCGGGAGGAGAUAUAGGGUCGUUACACCAUGUGAUCAGCCAUCAACGUAUACGAUCAAUUGUUGACGUAGGUCACUAACCUUUUUUUAUUGUUGUAAAAGACCCAUUCUUUGGAUUUUAUCCUCUAUUUGCUCAUUUGCACCAUUUUAUCUAAUUGGGAGCUUGGGAGGGAGAUCUUGGGGGAUAUUUCUUGCAUAAGUUCAUGCGGGUAAAUUCGUAGCUCGAUUAUAAAUGAUUUCCUACCAAUUUUUUCAUCUAAAUUCUUAUAAAUCAAAGAGUUCAAAUGUAGGUUUUAGAGGUUUUCCCCCCUAUUUGAAAAUUUGAUAUUUCUUUGAUUUGAGCAUCUAGUCUUACUCUUUUUUUCUAGGGUUUUGACCCAUAGAACCCUUUUCAAUUGAAGAUUCUAAUUUUCAAAUAAGAUUUGAUUCUUACCCUUUUUUAUUUUUUUAUGGUUUUUUUUUUUUUUGCCUUAUGGUUCCCGUGAGGUUUUUCACCAAUAAUACUCUCAUUUUAAUUUCUCUCAACUUACCAUCGCCUUACGGUUCCUAUGAGGGUUUUCAUUCUUUUUUUUUUUUUUUUUUUGUUUUUUUUUUUUGGGGGGGGGGGGGGGAGGUGGGUUUGUUGGUAAAGCUUGAAAAAUGGAUUUUCUUCGAUUUGGACCUCAUUUUUAAUUCAUUCUUGUGUGUUUUUUUAUCUUGUAGACUCCUUCAGCCUUGGGAAAUAUGUUGUUAAAAAAUCUAUUUUUUCCACUUUGUUUUUUAACUCAAUUUUUGAACCUACUUUAGACUCGAACAAAAUAUAAAGAAGAAUGUGCCUCAUCCAAAAUCAACCUUACCCAUCCACCAACUCUUAGUACAUAAAAUCAUCCUUUAAUCCUCAAAACACCAUCGAAAUCAAGAGAUGUCACCUUAGCCUUGCCACUCAACACCUUAUCUCAAAACUAGUAAGCUCAAAUCUGCUCUAUCAAAGAAGAUCUAGCAUCAACAAUGGUUAAAACACGCUCGGGUGUCGAAAUAUCAAGCCUAACCAACUAAUUAGCCAAAUACAGAGCUUCUAAGGAUAAAGUCCCCUCGUGGUUCAAGAGAAGAGCAGUACUCUCCAUACUAGUAGAUUUUCGGAUCAAGGCAUCUUCAACCACAUUAACCAUGCCCAAAUGAAAAAUAAUAGUGAGAUCAUAAUACUUAAGCAUAUCAAGACAACACUGCUGACUCAUAUUAAGAUCUUGCUGGAUGAAGAAGUAUUGAAGGCUACAAUAAUCCGAGAACAAUCAAAUCAGCUUUACCAUUUAAAGUCCAUACAAAAAAUGAUUCUAUAGCUUCAACACAACUAUAACUGCUGAAAACUCCAAAUAAUAGGUGGGGUAAUUUUUCUCAUGAGGCUUCAACUGUCCAGAAGUAUAACCAUUCACCUUAACCUUCUGUAUCACACCCAAACCAAUACACGAUCAUCAUAGAACACGAUAAAAUCCACACCCUCCUGGGGCGAGGUCAAAUAUAAGCCAAAUUCAACAACUUUUUGAGCUUUUGGUAUCUCUUCUCAUAUGCAUUUGACUACUGAAAUACCACUUUUUUCUGAGGCAACAUAGUCAAAGGAGGUUCUAUUGGUGAGAAACCCUCUAUAAAGCACCGAUAAUAACCUGCCAAACCAACAAAACUCUAAAUCUCGAUAGGAGAACUAGGUCUAGCCCAAUCAUUAAUUAUUUUAGCUUGGCUGGAUUAACCAAUAUACCAUCCUUGGUUACCACAUUAAUCCUAAAAGAGAGUAUCCAACCAAAACUCACACUGGAAAACUUACCAUACAGCUUUUUAUCAUGCAAUCUCUGAAGUACAAUCCUCAAAUGCUUCACAUGGACAACCUCAUUAUUAGAAUAAACCAAGAUGUCUUCUACAAAUAUAAACAUAAAAGGGUUGAUAUACGAUCACCUCAGGGGAAUUGGUCAACCCAAAAGACAUGAACAAUAACUCAUAAUGACCCUAUAGAGUAUAUGAAGCCAUCUUUAAAGCAUCUGAAGCUCUAAUCUUUAACCGGUGAUAUUCGGGUCUCAAAUCAAUCUUAGAAAACACCAAAGCACCCUGGAGUUGGUUAAUAAGUUCAUCAAUCCAAGGAAGAAGAUACUUAUUCUUAAUUGCUACCUUGUUCAACUACCUAUAAUCAAUACACAUAUGCAUAGAACCAUUAUUUUUCUUUACGGACAAGACAAGUGCACCCUAAGGAGAUACAUAAGGUCUAAUGAACCCCAUACUCAACAAAUCUUGUAACUGCUCAUUUAAUUUCUUCAACUGUGUUGGGGACAUCCUAUAGGGAGGAAUGAAAAUGGGCUUGCUUCCCGGCUCUACAUCAACAACAAAAACAAUAUCACGAUCCAGAGGUAUACUAGGUAAAUAUGUAGAGAACACAUCCAUGAACUAGUAAACAACUCGAACAGAAUCCAUAGGAGGUGGCGACACAACACUAGUUCCACGAACAUAACAAAAAUAUGGCAAACACCCUCUCUAUACCAUGCGCAAGCAUGUAGAAAAGAUAUGACACCCUUCAUACCCGAAUUAAGCUUACCCUUCAAAGCUAGCCUUGGCACACUUGGUGUAGCUAAAUGAUAGUCUUUGCAUAACAAUCAUAAAUAGCAUGGUAAGGAGCUAACCAAUCCACACCCCAAAACAACGUCAAAAUAAACCAUAUAUUAGAUAAUAAAGUCUAUCAAAGUCUUACGGCCUAUAAAGGUAACCACACAAGAUUGGUAUACCCAAUUCAUUACUAAAUAAUCUCGUACGAGGGUAGAAAUAUGAAAAGGUAUAAAAAGAGGCUUGCAAGAAAAACCAAAUACAUAAGAAAAGUAUAUAGAUACAUAAUAUAAUAUAGACCUAGGGUCAAAUAACACAGAAGUAGAUCUGUAGCAAACUGGGAUAAUACUGGUAAUAACUACAUCAGAAGUCUCUACCUCGAAUAUCCAAGGUAUAGCAUAACACUGAGUAUCCCUAUGAAAACCUCAAUGAUCUCCCUCACCUCUACUUUUAGAACAUCUAACACUAUCCAUACCACUCUGCGAACCAACUCUCACUUCAAAUACUAGAGUAGGGUAAAGCUGAAGCUAAGAACCCUGCUAAGUGGGUCUGUAUUCAUGUUGAGGGAAAUCCUUGGCCACAUGGUGUAACUCAUCACAUACAAAAUAUCCUCUGUGGCCCAACUCAAUUUGAGUAGGUACGGAUGAACUAGAAUGACCAUCUUGUCCUGAAGAUCUAACCUUAGAUCUUUCACUCGCAUGACCUGAUGCACCUUUUUUGGUGCCUUCCUUAGUAUCCUAGAUAAUAGACUAUGUCAUCUUAUCAUUCUCAGUAAUACUCUAGGAAAAAAGCCUGUGAAACUACCAUCCGAGUUUUAGCCAAUUGAUAUGUACCAUCUAACCCCUUCACAAACUUUGGAAUCAUCUCAAACUCGAUAGAGAUACUUGUGACUAAAUAUUUGGAUAAGGUGUUGACACAUUCCUUAUAAUCGGUAAUAACAUGGAGCUCUGCUCCAAAAUAUAAAAACCAUCCCUUAUUUUGUCUCUCAAGCUAUUUGGUACAAACUUCUCUAAGAAGUCCUAAGAAAAUUAUGUCCAAGUCAUAGCAGGCAAACCUAAAGGCCUACUACAGGCAAGCAAUCUCCACCAAUCCCUAUCCACAUUUGUUAACUGGUAAAUAAUAGAAGAAACUCCAUAAUACUCAAAGGAUAAAAGAUUAUGUAACUUCUCCUGGGAAACAAUCAAACAAUCAUUGGCAUACUCACCAAUAUAUCCAAUAAACUUGGGUGGACCAAAGCGAAUGAACUUCUCAAAUCUUUUUUAUCAUCCAAAUUAAAGAAAAUCUAUUUUUUCAAGCAUUACUGGAAAAAACCCCAAAAAUCCAUUGAAAAUCAAAAAGAGUAAAGAUGGAAAUUUGAAAAUUUAAAACCUCAAGUGAAAAUGAUUCUAUGGGUGAAGACCCAAGCAAAAAUGAGUAAGAACUGAAGCUCAAAUUAAAGAAGCACCAAAGUUUCAAAUUUCAAAAAAACCCCAAAAACCAUCUUUUGAAAUUUUUGAUUUAGAAGAACUUAAAUGAUAAAGUUGGUAGGAAAUGAUUUAGAAUUGGGAUACGAACUUACCCGCACAAACAAACACAAGAAAUAUUCUCCAAAAUCCCCCUUCUAAGCUCGCAAUAUGAUAAAAAUGGUGCAAAUGAGAAAAAAUGGGAUAAAAUUGCAAAAUUGGGUUACUUUCGGCAAAGAAGAGGGGUUGUUGACCGCGCAUCGACCAUUGACCAUGUGUGUUUACCGUUGACCUGUAAUGACCACGGCAGCAACGUAAAAAAACUUAAGUUUUGUCCUGUGGGACUCAUUCGAAAUCCUAUGAACAUGAACCAAUAGUGUAAAUUAAUAAUAAAAGAUGUUCCACAUUUAAUGGAAUCAUUAGAUUUAUGAAUAAAUGGAUGUUCACAUCAAAUUAACAUCUGAGACUCCUUCAGGACAAAAUAUACUAUUUUUCAAUUGGAAGGCUGAAAUACAAAUAAAAGUUUCAAACCCAAACCAUCCAUGCUACAAUUCAAAAUUGAUGUUCCAGAUUUGUUAAUACAUUCCAUUUUUCCAUUCGACACUCGAAUAAAAAAAUAUAUACCGAGGUCAACUAUUGUCUUUGAAAUCCUCGAAUAACCUCAAACUCACCUAAAUCCUUCCCAAAGUUCUUGGGAACCAUGUUACCAUACCCAAAAUCCAAAUUCAGUAUUUAGAACUACCGAAACGGAUAAAAUAGCCAAAACACAUAAAAGAGAAAAUCACCAAAAUUCAAGUCUUUAUAGAUUCAUGUUUAGAUGAUCAACUACGAAAUCCAUACAUCUUGUGAGGAGAAUGAUGGUACAUACUGUAAAAGAAAGAGGGUCUUGUAUAUUAUUUUCAUUGACCAUGAGAUGGCCUACAACUAAGUUCCAAGAAAAGUCCAUUGGAGAUGUUUGGGGACUAGAGAUGUACUGGUGGUUUGAUUUAGGGAAAUAAAGGACAUGUAUGGUGGAAAAAAAUUAUGAAUUACAUAAGGAUACAAAGAGUACUUCCCUGUGAAAAUAGGAUUGCACAAGGUAUUAACUUUUAUCUCGUUCUUCUUUGUAUUGGUGAUGGAUGAAUUGAUGUGGUACAUUAAAGAUGAGGUUCUUUGGCGUAUGUUAUUUGUGAAUGACAUUGUACUUAUUGAUAAGACACAUAGUGGAGUAAAUGCUAGGUUGGAGUUAUGGAGACAAACCUUCGAAGCUAAAGGAUUUAGGUUGAUCUGGACUAGCUUAGAGUACUUAUAGUGCAAAUUUAGUGAGGGGAUGCAUGAGGAAAACGUGGAAGUAUGGUUGGACACAUAGGCUAUCCGCUAGAAUAAUAGUUAUAGGUAUCUUGGGUUUACAAUCAAGGGUAGUAGCACAAUUGAUAACGGUUUCAAGCAUCUUGACUUCAGAGUCUUGUGUGAUUAAAUGAUACCACCGAGAGGUAAAGAUAAGUUUUAUAGAAUGGUGGCUAGAUCGGUGUUUUUUUAUGGGGUAGAAUAUUGGCCAGUCAAAAACUCUCAUGUUCAGAAGAUGCAUAUUGUGGAUAUGAGGAAGUUGAGUUUGAUAUGUAAGAAUACUAGUGUUCAUAGGAUCAAAAUAAGGUUUUCCAAUAUGAGGUGAGAGUGUUCUUCAUUGUGGACAAUAUGAGGAAUGCGAGAUUGAGAUGGUUUGAUCAUAUGAAGAGAUGAGGUGUAGAUGUCAUAGUGAGGUGGUUUAGGAGUUUGGAUUUAGCAGUCACAAUGAGAGGUAGAGUUAGGCUGAGAAGUAUUAGGGGAGAUGUAUAGACUAGGUAUGGUCUAACUUCAAGUUACUGAGGACAUGACCAUAGAUAGGAGAUGCGAAAGACUUGUAUUAGCAUAAAAGGUAAUCAGAUAGGAGUCUUGUGUUGAUUUUUGAGGGUUUAGGCUUGAAUGGUGUUUCUCGUACACUAGACAAAGUAUAGCAGUUUAGGGUUUAAGCAGUAGAGAAUGAGGUGGAGUUGAUCCCUACUUGUGAUAUCUAUAAUAGUUUGAUAUUCAUUAUGUUUGGACUAUCAUGCUAUUUGUUUUUAUUAUUUUUUUAUUCUUUUAGACUUUGAAAUGUCCCCUUCUUAGUUGUUAUAAUUUCUGCAUUGUUUUCUUCUUAUUAUUACCAUGAUUUACUGUACAUGUGUUGAUGGUCUUUUGAAAACAGCCUCUCUGCCUACUGGAGGUAGAGGUAAGGUCUGCAUACACUGUACCUACUCUAGACUUCAUUUGUGGAAUUUCACUAGGUAUGUUAUUUGUGGUGUUGAUGUUGGUGUUUUCAUGACAUAAUUCUAUAACGGGGCAAUAUAAUUUAUAAUUAGUUGCUUAAUUUGGUGUUUUCCUCAAAAUUAGGAAAAUAUAAAAAUACUUUAUCCUUCAUAUUUCUUUGAUGAAAAAUAAGAAAGUCAAAUUGAAAAAUAAUUUUCUCUUCCAUAUUUAUUUCAAGUAAUUAUACUACUUUAUAUAAGACCUCAAAUAAUGUCAUACAACAAGAAAAAUUAAUCCUUUCUAAAUUAUGAUGGAGAUCUUAGACAAUAUAUCCUAAAUACUCAAAAUAAGUGCCUAUCAUUUAUUUAGCUAAUUUUAAUAUGUUUAUACCUUACCAAUCAUAUUUUGUUUAUUUCAAGAUAAAAAAAAUGUUACGAUUUAAUUUUUAUAUAAUUAUGUUGAUCAGAUCAAUUUUAUAUGAUGAUGUGUACAUGAUAUGUCAUAUUUCUAUAACGUCUUAUAAAGUAUAAUUGUUAUUUGUUCCGGUCUCAAAUAAAUAUGCUAUCUAAACCAUAUUAUGUGAAUUGUUGGAAAUCUUUUUAUAGUUUAAAAUAUCUAAAUUUUUGAAUGUUCAAGAGAAAUGUUAGAAUUUUUUUUCUUAUUUACCCUUUCCCUUUCUUUUAAUGAAGUUCAUAACUAUUUUAUAUUUUCUUGAAAAAUAAAUUGAAUAUGAUCAAAAAAGUAAUAGUAAACAAUAACCUUUAAUUCAUAAUCUUAAAUAUAUUUUUUUGCUUAAUGGAUAUACUAUACCCUAACAAUUCACCUAAUAUGGUCUAGAAAAAGUAUAUCUUUUUCGUAACUUAAUUCAAUGAUAGAGGGAAAAUAAUUAAUAGCUGCCUAAUUUGGUGUUUUCCCUUCAAAUACACACACACACAAAAAAAAGAGAAAUAAUAAACCAUUAAACUCAAAUUGAAAAAUAGAAUUUUCCAUUUAUUAACAUUUUUAUUUUUUUUUAAUUUUUUGUGAAAUGUGUAUGUGGCAUUAGGAAAUAAAAUACAGAAAACAUCUCAUUUAAGCAAUUACCUUGACUGUGUUUUUGUUUCUUUCCCCUACCAUUUUCCUAUUUAUGCAUAUCUUCCCUAAUGUUUUCUCUCAUCCCAAUUACAUUUAUAGACUAAAAAUGGUGCGAAGGCCACAUAAGUGCACAGAGUUGUUGAGAAGGUGCAUUACAAGGAAGUCCAGAAGAGUUAGUUGGGGAGACACACACAAAGAUACCGAUACUAGGAAAGAAUAAAUGGUUAGGUACAUUUGAUACGGCAGAUCUGGCUUCAACGACAUAUAAUGCAACGUCGAUUAAGUUCCAUAGUGUUAGAGCAAAGACCAAUUUUUUUAUUCUGAUGGGCGAUGAGAAUUGAGAGUUUAGAUCAGUUCUGUAGAGUCAUUGAAUGCGGUGACUGUGGCGAUAUUGAUAGUUGAAUAGCCAACUUAAAUGAAUCUAAGCCUCGGAAGUAGUUAGAUCCAUUGGAGGUGGUGAUUCAACCAUCAAUGCCGCCACAAUCACCGCAUUCGAUGACUCUAUAGAACCGACCUAACUACCAAUUUGAUUCAGAUCACCCAUCAGAAUAAAAAAAUAGUUCUUUGCUAUAACACCACCAAACUUAGUCACCGCUGCAUCAUAUACUAUCACAGCCAGCUCCACCAUGUCGAAGGAACAUAACCAUUUAUUCUUUCUUAGUAUCGAUAUCUCCUAUGUGUAUCUCCCUGACUCUUCUGAACUCCUCAGUAAAGCACCUUCUCAAAAACUAUAUUCACUUUCUUUGCCCUUGGUGCCAUUUUCACUCUAUGAAUGUAAUUAGAAUGAGAGAACAUGUAUGGGGAUGAGGUGCUUAAAUAGAAAAAUGGUAGGGAAAAUAAACAAAAACACAGUCAAGGGAGCUUCUUAAAUUUGAUAUUCUUCUGUAUUUUAUUUCCUAAUGCCACAUACGCAUUUCAUAAAAAGAAAAAAAAGGUCAAUAAAUGGAAAAUGUUAUUUUUUAAUUUGAGUUUAAUGGUUUAUUAUUUCUCAUUUUUUUGGAUCUUGAGGGAAAACAUUAAAUAAGGCAGUGAUAAAUUAUUUUUCCUCUAUCAUUGAAUUAAGUUAUGAAAAAGAUAUUCUUUUUCUAGUCCUUAUUAAGUGAAUUGUUAGGAUAUAACAUAUUCAUUAAGAAAAAAAUGAAUAUAUUUAAGAUUGUAAAUUAAAGGUUAUUAGUAUUACUUUUUUUUUCAUUCUCAAAAUAUUAUUCUAGAAAAUAUAAAAUAGUUAAGAAUUUCAAUAAAAGAAAGGGUAAAUAUGAAAAAGAUUGUAACAAGUCUCUUGAACCUUGAAAAAUCAGCUAUUUUGAACUGUAAAAAGAGUUCCAACAAUUCCCUUAAUAUGGAUUAGAAGAGUAUUUAUUUGAGACCAGAAUAAAUAAUAAUUAUACUUUUCAUUGAGUAAGAGCAAAUGACAUAUAAUGUACACAUCAUCGGGUAAAAUUAAUUUGAUCAUGGAGUUUCCGUGUCAAUCAUAGGGUCAUUUAUAAAAUUGAUGAAAAUCUACAUCAUUUGACCCUAAGGAAGUAUCCCUGGCGAAAGAAAAUCCCUAACAGAUGGCUCUUAUUGUUUGAAUUUUUGAAGAAUUAUAGGCAGAGAGAACAAAUAGAGGUGGUGAAAUGGAGAAAACCUGCACAAGGAUAGUAUAAGUGCAACACUAAUGGCACUUCAAAAGGAACCCUGGAGCAAGCUCCAUAACUUUUUGUAUUAGAAAUGAUGAGGGUGAUUUGGUUUAUGCUUCAUGUAAACAGACUCAAGAAAAUACAAGCAUUUAUGUAGAAGCACUAGCCAUAAUAGAAGGAUGUAGUUAAUAUGUUGAGCAUCAUUUAUUGCCUUUAGAGAUUGAAACUAACUCAUUUACACUGGCUAAGAUGGUAAAAGGGGGAUGGGAGGUUCCUUGGAGCAUAAUAGGAAUCAUUACAAGAAUUCAACAAAUGAUGGAGGAUGAAUUAAUCAAAGUACAAUAUAUCUACAGAGAAUGAAACUCACUGGCAGAUUGUUUGGCUAACUUGUGUUUUAGUUUUGCAGGUACAGUUAACUUUAACACUUUCAUGGAGCUACCUAGAAAAGCUAAGGCAAUUACUAUACAAGAUAAGAAGCAGAUUCCACAUAUUAGAGUCGGGAAGAUGAGACAACAAGCACCAGAUUAAGACAGGAUCUUAAUUCAUCACUCAAAACUUCCAAGGACAGUAAGGUAAUCACACAGGGGAGGCUCAAAAGAACCACGAAGUGUAAACACAAAGGCUGAUUUGGAAUGUACAGGUUAAUAAAGGGAUUUCAAAUGUUACUAUGUCUCGUCGAUUUGCUUCAACUAAUGUUAAGGUGGUAUUAAUCUCUAAGAGGUUCAUUACUUUGCAAAGGAAGAAGUAAAUCUAUAAACUACUAAUAUUCAUUUUCUUAGAAAAAUUGGAGAUUUAUCUAAAUGAAUUAACAUAAAUUUAAGUACUUGGAGUUAUAUUCCAUUGGAAUCGAUUUCAGAACACUCGAUUCAAAGCUACUUACUAAAAUUAUGUUACAUUCAAUUAGAUAGAUCCAAUUUCUUAAUAAGAUGUAAUGGUACACUGCAAAAAAGAUUCAUUUAUGGAGGUUAUUUUGUCGAUUAGUGGCAGCCUCGGAUCCCCACAAAAUAAAUUGUGGCGGUUUUAAAAAAUUCUACAAUAUGCCUUGCCACGAGCAAUUUUGUGGCAGUUUUUUAAAACCUCCCUAACAUCUACCACAAAGUAAAAUUUUAUUUUAUGGCGAUUUUUAAAGCAAUUAAUGACAUUUUUUAACACCCAUAAUAUAAUUCUAAUAUGUUAAAAAUAAUAAUUUGUGGGGAUUUAUGACCCCCUCAAUUUACACAACUUUUUUCUUUAAAAAAAAAAACAAUAAUGGUAGUUUAUAACUGUCAUUAUUUCUUUGUUGAAAAUCAUCUUUUUCUGUUUAAAAUUUUUAAUUUUGAAAUUCAAUAAAUAAUUUUACUAGAUGACUAAUAUGACAUGAAGUAAAUUCCAAUAUCAAUAUCCAUAGCAACAAACAUUACCAAUUCAGAUCCACAUCAAACUAAAGUUAUACAACCACAUAUAUGAUGACUUAAAACAUUACCUAAUAUAGUAGGUAGCUCUGUG
This 22001-nucleotide long non-coding RNA is filed under the name Capsicum annuum. RNAcentral describes it as "long non-coding RNA (CANN_LNC007229)". The record is from RNAcentral. Lineage: Eukaryota; Viridiplantae; Streptophyta; Magnoliopsida; Solanales; Solanaceae.